Molecule: small nucleolar RNA, 200 nt
Filed under: Mnemiopsis leidyi (sea walnut)
Lineage: Eukaryota; Metazoa; Ctenophora; Tentaculata; Lobata; Bolinopsidae
Description: small nucleolar RNA SNORA73 family
Source: RNAcentral
GCAACUGGGUGUUCCCGCCGGUUUUGCCGCCGUGCGGGCAGCCCGAUGGUGUUUGGUCGUGUUCCUAUUGGGCUCGUCCUCCAUAAUGUUGCAAAACAAGAGUCAUGUGACUCGUCACGUGACUCCAUUGCAUAUUCCUUGCGUCUCGUGAAGAUCCUAGAGGUCGGUUAUCACGAGGAUAAACCAUGCAAAUGACAAUC